This 76-nucleotide transfer RNA is filed under the name Afifella marina. RNAcentral's name for it is "tRNA-Phe". It matches the Rfam family "tRNA". Rfam says of the family: Transfer RNA (tRNA) molecules are approximately 80 nucleotides in length. Their secondary structure includes four short double-helical elements and three loops (D, anti-codon, and T loops). Further hydrogen bonds mediate the characteristic L-shaped molecular structure. tRNAs have two regions of fundamental functional importance: the anti-codon, which is responsible for specific mRNA codon recognition, and the 3' end, to which the tRNAs corresponding amino acid is attached (by aminoacyl-tRNA synthetases). tRNAs cope with the degeneracy of the genetic code in two manners: having more than one tRNA (with a specific anti-codon) for a particular amino acid; and 'wobble' base-pairing, i.e. permitting non-standard base-pairing at the 3rd anti-codon position. The record is from RNAcentral. Lineage: Bacteria; Pseudomonadati; Pseudomonadota; Alphaproteobacteria; Hyphomicrobiales; Afifellaceae. RNAcentral also lists the same sequence under 66 other names.
GCCCAGGUAGCUCAGUUGGUAGAGCAGCGGACUGAAAAUCCGCGUGUCGGUGGUUCGAAUCCGCCCCUGGGCACCA